This 468-nucleotide ribosomal RNA is filed under the name uncultured bacterium. RNAcentral describes it as "partial 16S ribosomal RNA". It matches the Rfam family "Bacterial small subunit ribosomal RNA", at positions 28 to 507 of the family's 1533-position model. The record is from RNAcentral.
GACGAACGCUGGCGGCGUGCUUAACACAUGCAAGUCGAACGGAAAGGCCCUGCUUUUGUGGGGGGCUCGAGUGGCGAACGGGUGAGUAACACGUGAGUAAGCUGCCCUUGACUGGGGGAUAACUUCAGUAAACUGUGGCUAAUACCGGAUAGGAGCUCCUGCUGCAUGGUGGGGGUUGGAAAGUUUCGGCGGUUGGGGAUGGACUCGCGGCUUCUCAGCUGGUUGGUGGGGUAGUGGCUUACCAAGGGUGUGACGGGUAGCCGGCCUGAGAGGGUGACCGGCCACAUUGGGAGUGAGAUACGGCCGAGACUCCUCCGGCAGGCAGCAGUGGGGAAUAUUGCACCAUGGGCGGAAGCCUGAUGCAGCAACGCCGCGUGCGGGAUGAAGGCCUUCGGGUUGUAAACCGCUUUCGCCUGUGACGAAGCGUGAGUGACGGUAAUGGGUAAAGAAGCACCGGCUAACUACGUG